This 253-nucleotide ribosomal RNA is filed under the name uncultured bacterium. Its description in RNAcentral is "partial 16S ribosomal RNA". It matches the Rfam family "Bacterial small subunit ribosomal RNA", at positions 524 to 776 of the family's 1533-position model. The record is from RNAcentral.
UACGUAGGGGCCUAGCGUUGUCCGGAAUUAUUGGGCGUAAAGAGCUCGUAGGCGGUUUGUCACGUCUGCUGUGAAAUCCCGAGGCUCAACCUCGGGCCUGCAGUGGGUACGGGCAGACUGGAGUGCGGUAGGGGAGAAUGGAAUUCCUGGUGUAGCGGUGGAAUGCGCAGAUAUCAGGAGGAACACCGAUGGCGAAGGCAGUUCUCUGGGCCGUAACUGACGCUGAGGAGCGAAAGCGUGGGGAGCGAACAGG